RNAcentral lists this ribosomal RNA (484 nucleotides) under uncultured bacterium. RNAcentral describes it as "partial 16S ribosomal RNA". It matches the Rfam family "Bacterial small subunit ribosomal RNA", at positions 30 to 507 of the family's 1533-position model. The record is from RNAcentral.
AUUGAACGCUGGCGGCAGGCCUAACACAUGCAAGUCGAGCGGAUGAAGGGAGCUUGCUCCUGGAUUCAGCGGCGGACGGGAGAGUAAUGCCUAGGAAUCUGCCUGGUAGUGGGGGAUAACGUCCGGAAACGGGCGCUAAUACCGCAUACGUCCUGAGGGAGAAAGUGGGGGAUCUUCGGACCUCACGCUAUCAGAUGAGCCUAGGUCGGAUUAGCUAGUUGGUGGGGUAAAGGCCUACCAAGGCGACGAUCCGUAACUGGUCUGAGAGGAUGAUCAGUCACACUGGAACUGAGACACGGUCCAGACUCCUACGGGAGGCAGCAGUGGGGAAUAUUGGACAAUGGGCGAAAGCCUGAUCCAGCCAUGCCGCGUGUGUGAAGAAGGUCUUCGGAUUGUGAAGCACUUUAAGUUGGGAGGAAGGGCAGUAAGUUAAUACCUUGCUGUUUUGACGUUACCAACAGAAUAAGCACCGGCUAACUUCGUG